Molecule: transfer RNA, 76 nt
Filed under: Klebsiella aerogenes
Lineage: Bacteria; Pseudomonadati; Pseudomonadota; Gammaproteobacteria; Enterobacterales; Enterobacteriaceae
Description: tRNA-Met
Rfam family: tRNA
About the family: Transfer RNA (tRNA) molecules are approximately 80 nucleotides in length.
Source: RNAcentral
GGCAUUUUAGCUCCACGGUUAGAGCGUGCGACUCAUAAUCGCCCGGUCGCUGGUUUAAAUCCAGCAAGGGCCACCA